This 181-nucleotide ribosomal RNA is filed under the name uncultured Staphylococcus sp. RNAcentral's name for it is "partial 16S ribosomal RNA". It matches the Rfam family "Bacterial small subunit ribosomal RNA", at positions 159 to 334 of the family's 1533-position model. Lineage: Bacteria; Bacillati; Bacillota; Bacilli; Caryophanales; Staphylococcaceae. The record is from RNAcentral.
GGGGCUAAUACCGGAUAAUACAUGAAACCGCAUGGUUUCAUGAUGAAAGACGGUUUUGCUGUCACUUAUAGAUGGACCCGCGACGUAUUAGCUAGUUGGUAAGGUAACGGCUUACCAAGGCAACGAUACGUAGCCGACCUGAGAGGGUGAUCGGCCACACUGGAACUGAGACACGGUCCAG